CCUACGGGUGGCAGCAGUCGAGAAUUAUUCACAAUGGGGGAAACCCUGAUGGUGCGACGCCGCGUGGGGGAAUGAAGGUCUUCGGAUUGUAAACCUCUUUUGUCAGGGAACAAAGGCGGGGACUAGUCCCCGGAUGAGGGUACCUGAAGAAAAAGCAUCGGCUAACUCCGUGCCAGCAGCCGCGGUAAUACGGAGGAUGCGAGCGUUAUCCGGAUUUAUUGGGUUUAAAGGGUGCGCAGGCGGCCUGUUAAGUCAGCGGUAAAAGCCCGGGGCUCAACCCCGGCGAGCCGUUGAAACUGGCGGGCUGGAGUUGGAGAGAAGUACGCGGAAUGCGCGGUGUAGCGGUGAAAUGCUUAGAUAUCGCGCAGAACCCCGAUUGCGAAGGCAGCGUACCGGCUCCACACUGACGCUGAGGCACGAAAGCGUGGGUAUCGAACAGGAUUAGAUACCCUAGUAGUC
This 459-nucleotide ribosomal RNA is filed under the name uncultured bacterium. RNAcentral's name for it is "partial 16S ribosomal RNA". It matches the Rfam family "Bacterial small subunit ribosomal RNA", at positions 338 to 795 of the family's 1533-position model. The record is from RNAcentral.